GGGUAGUUUUUAGUACGUAGGCGGCAUGGAUGGCGAAUCGUGCAUGCUGCUAACAAGAACCCGCAGUAUCUUUUCAAGAUUUUUAUCUC
This is a non-coding RNA of Glossina palpalis gambiensis, 89 nucleotides long. The record is from Rfam. NCBI's taxonomy places the organism in Eukaryota, Metazoa, Arthropoda, Insecta, Diptera, Glossinidae.